GUGGGGAAUUUUGGACAAUGGGCGAAAGCCUGAUCCAGCCAUGCCGCGUGCAGGAUGAAGGCCUUCGGGUUGUAAACUGCUUUUGUACGGAACGAAAAAGCUCUCUCUAAUACAGGGGGUGAAUGACGGUACCGUAAGAAUAAGCACCGGCUAACUACGUGCCAGCAGCCGCGGUACUACGUAGGGUGCAAGCGUUAAUCGGAAUUACUGGGCGUAAAGCGUGCGCAGGCGGUUAUGUAAGACAGAGGUGAAAUCCCCGGGCUCAACCUGGGAACUGCCUUUGGGACUGCAUAGCUGGAGUGCGGAAGAGGGGGAUGGAAUUCCGCGUGUAGCAGUGAAAUGCGUAGAUAUGCGGAGGAACACCGAUGGCGAAGGCAAUCCCCUGGGCCUGCACUGACGCUCAUGCACGAAAGCGUGGGGAGCAAACAGGAUUAGAUACCCGGGUAGUCC
This 450-nucleotide ribosomal RNA is filed under the name uncultured bacterium. RNAcentral's name for it is "partial 16S ribosomal RNA". It matches the Rfam family "Bacterial small subunit ribosomal RNA", at positions 354 to 796 of the family's 1533-position model. The record is from RNAcentral.